Molecule: small RNA, 1678 nt
Filed under: Rattus norvegicus (Norway rat)
Lineage: Eukaryota; Metazoa; Chordata; Mammalia; Rodentia; Muridae
Description: uncharacterized LOC100909912
Source: RNAcentral
CAGGGGGCCCUGCGCGAGGCAAGAGGCGUGGUCGCAAGGCCUGGGUUGCCACCAGCUUACCCAUCCCCUGGAGCUAAAGGGGGCGUCCAGCGUUCGAUUUCCCGUGUGCCUGUCUCCAUCCUGGAAUUCCUGACCUCUAUGGAGUGUUCAUUGUGCGCCAAGCACCGUUCCUCAAGACGAGUAGCUGAGGGGGCGUCAUCCUUACUUUUCAGACGAGCAAACUGAGGCCCGAGGAUUUCCCACCUGCACGAUGGCAGUUCCUGCUUCACUGUUCUGCAAGUGUCCACUCUUCACCCAUGGAGUUAGUCACACAGCAGCCAAGUCCCAAGCCGGGUCUGGUGAUGCACACCCUACGCACAGGAAGCAGAGGCAGGCAGAUCUCAGUUCCAGGCCAUCCAGGGGUACAUAGGGAAAUCCUAUCUUAAAAUUCAUAAUAGAGGGGCUGGAGAGAUGGCUCACUGGUUAAGAGCACUGACUGCUCUUCCAGAGGUCCUGAGUUCAAAUCCCAGCAACCACAUGGUGGCUCACAAUCUGUAAUGAGAUCUGAUGCCCUCUUCUUGUGUGUCUGAAGACAGCUACAGUGUACUCAUAUACAAUAAAUAAAUAAAAUCUUUAAAAAAAUUCAUAAUAGUAAUAAUAAUUCUAAGUGUAACAAAAGUACAUUAAAAUAAUUAUUGAUUCAAGUGCAAUGUUAUACUGAAAUGUAUUCAGACAUAUGCAUAAUAUUUAUAUAUGUAUAUGCUCAGAGUAGAACAGAUAGGAACAGUAAAAACAAAUUGAAUUAUGUCAGAAAAAGAUCCAAAAAGAAGCCAGUCGUGCUGCUGAGUAACAUCUGGCAGGCCCUAGAGUCAGAAUCGAAAGCAGCUGGGUGACAUCAGGUAAAUGAUCAGUGAAGACGCCACUUUUAUCCUUCCCUGUUUGCCCAGUCCCCAGGAAGGGAUUGACUUGUGUCCCUUCUUCGAAGUAGGGUUGGUUCUAAGACUGUUGCCCAAAAGACACACAAGUCCUAGGGUGAAGCCCUCAAGCCUAGGGCUUAAGAAUGCUGACAGCUCCUACUUUCUCCUUCCUGGCCCCAACUCUCCCUCUCUGAGAAGCCAGAGGGAAUGGGAGCACACCAGUUCACAGAGGCUGAGAUCCCAGGCAAGACCCAACAGCAUCUGCCUGCCUUGAUCUUAAAGCUGCAGCCCAAGUUAGUUUCGAACUCACGGCGGUCCUGGCAUCUGAAGGGCAGCAGCACACCCAACUUUUCUUCUUGUACUUCUUCUCCCCCAUUCAUGUAAUCUUUGCUCGGAUGCCGAUGACCCCCAUUUCAGAGAUGCGGGAAAGGAGGCUUUGAACAAAUCAGUCACUCAACCAAGGAUGUACACCUGGCCAAGCCUCGGGCUCUUCCUCAUUGCACCUCUUCACCUAUGUGCAAGCAACAGAUCUUUCCAACAGUCUUCUGGACAUUCCUAGAGGUAGCUCAGCCCUUGACCUUUUGGCUACAAUCAAGAGUAGCAACAGAACUGAAGUUGAUGGCACACAGGGGAGACGGAGGCAGGUAGAUCUGAUUUUGAGACCAGCCUGGCCUACAGAGAGAAUUCCGGGACAUCCAAGGCAACAAAGAGAGACCCUGUCUCAAAAGUAAAAUAAAAUAAAAUAAAAUGCUGAGUACAAUCACCACAGAGCCUGCUCAUCA